GGGCUGUUAGCUCAGCUGGUAGAGCAGCGGACUCUUAAUCCGUAGGUCGAGUGUUCGAGCCACUCACAGCCCA
Molecule: transfer RNA, 73 nt
Filed under: Candidatus Kinetoplastidibacterium blastocrithidiae TCC012E
Lineage: Bacteria; Pseudomonadati; Pseudomonadota; Betaproteobacteria
Description: Candidatus Kinetoplastibacterium blastocrithidii TCC012E tRNA
Rfam family: tRNA
About the family: Transfer RNA (tRNA) molecules are approximately 80 nucleotides in length.
Source: Rfam by way of RNAcentral